GAAGAAGUGUAAUGCUAGCUCUUUGGUGUUGCUGAAGAGGGUGCCAGACGAAUCAUCUAGAAACAUUCAGGAGGUAGUGGAAGGUGAGAGAGAUUUUAAGAGACGUAAAAUAGUUCCAGCUGCCUUGGAGGGGAACACACAUGAUAUUACCAGGUGGAACGGAAAUUGGAUGGAUGAGAAGUAUGUGAGUGCUUCAUUUAACAAUUGGUCUGAUGGAUAUUAUGGUUCAAACCCUGCAAAAAGAAGUGGUACCAAUGGCUAUUCCCCUGCAAGAAUUGGAGAAUCUAAUGAUUCUGAUAGUGAUGCAUGCUCUGUUGGUAGUUGUAGUAUUAAUCAUGAGAGUCCAAAUAAAAUUUCUAGUUUUUCAGCUGAAGUUCAUUGUCAAGUACCUGAUCUUCUGUGCAGUGAUGCAGAGUCCUUUCAAAGUUCAGCAGAAGAACAUGAGGAGGAAAGCUGCCGUGUUUCUUCGGAGAAAAAUAUAGCAGGGAAUAUUCGUGACUUGGAGUUGCAUGCUUAUCGCUGCACUUUGGAGGCAUUGU
Molecule: unclassified non-coding RNA, 539 nt
Filed under: Hevea brasiliensis (rubber tree)
Lineage: Eukaryota; Viridiplantae; Streptophyta; Magnoliopsida; Malpighiales; Euphorbiaceae
Source: RNAcentral